RNAcentral lists this transfer RNA (116 nucleotides) under Escherichia coli. Its description in RNAcentral is "tRNA-Tyr". It matches the Rfam family "tRNA". From Rfam's summary of the family: Transfer RNA (tRNA) molecules are approximately 80 nucleotides in length. Their secondary structure includes four short double-helical elements and three loops (D, anti-codon, and T loops). Further hydrogen bonds mediate the characteristic L-shaped molecular structure. tRNAs have two regions of fundamental functional importance: the anti-codon, which is responsible for specific mRNA codon recognition, and the 3' end, to which the tRNAs corresponding amino acid is attached (by aminoacyl-tRNA synthetases). tRNAs cope with the degeneracy of the genetic code in two manners: having more than one tRNA (with a specific anti-codon) for a particular amino acid; and 'wobble' base-pairing, i.e. permitting non-standard base-pairing at the 3rd anti-codon position. The record is from RNAcentral. Lineage: Bacteria; Pseudomonadati; Pseudomonadota; Gammaproteobacteria; Enterobacterales; Enterobacteriaceae.
GGUGGGGUUCCCGAGCGGCCAAAGGGAGCAGACUGUAAAUCUGCCGUCAUCGACUUCGAAGGUUCGAAUCCUUCCCCCCAUCGACUUCGAAGGUUCGAAUCCUUCCCCCACCACCA